GACGAACGCUGGCGGCGUGCUUAACACAUGCCAGUCGAACGGAAAGGCCCUGCUUGCUGGGUAUUCGAGUGGCGAACGGGUGAGUAACACGUGGGUGCACUGCCCUCCACUUCGUGAUAAGCCUGGGAGACUGGGUCUAAUACCGGAUAGGAGACAUUUUUAGUGUGUUGGUUGGAAAGAUUUUUCGGUGUAGGAUGAGUUAGCGGCCUAUCAGCUUGUUGGUGGGGUAAUGGCCUACCAAGGCGGCGACGGGUAGCCCGCCUGGGGGGGUGGACGGCCGCAUUGGGACUGAGGUACGGCCCAGACUGCUACGGGAGGCAGCAGGGGGGAAUAUUGCACAAUGGGCGCCAGCCUGGUGCAGCGGCGCCGCGUGGGGGAUGACGGCCUUCGGGUUGGAAACUCCUUUCGCUAGGGACGAAGCUUUUUGUGACGGUACCUAGAUAAGAAGCACCGGCUAACUACGUG
This 465-nucleotide ribosomal RNA is filed under the name uncultured bacterium. RNAcentral describes it as "partial 16S ribosomal RNA". It matches the Rfam family "Bacterial small subunit ribosomal RNA", at positions 28 to 507 of the family's 1533-position model. The record is from RNAcentral.